UAGUGUUAAAGAUCUUUUAGAAUUUAUCUAGCAGAUUUUCUAGUAUCCACCAGAAGACCCCC
Small nuclear RNA from Otolemur garnettii (small-eared galago), 62 nucleotides. Its record names the gene U7. It matches the Rfam family "U7 small nuclear RNA". From Rfam's summary of the family: Animal histone pre-mRNAs are spliced by a different mechanism than nuclear pre-mRNAs and self-splicing introns. This processing involves the U7 snRNP, which contains only one RNA species: U7. The record is from Ensembl. Lineage: Eukaryota; Metazoa; Chordata; Mammalia; Primates; Galagidae.